ACGCUCGACACCUACGGGAGGUAGCAGUUGGGAAUAUUGGACAAUGGAGGAAACUCUGAUCCAGUGACGCCGCGUGAAGGAAGAAGGUCUUCGGAUUGUAAACUUAUUUUGUCAGGGAAGAAAAAUGACUGUACCUGAAGAAAAAGCACCGGCUAACUACGUGCCCGCAGCCGCGGUAAUCUGAGCGGGCUGGCAAGGC
Molecule: ribosomal RNA, 199 nt
Filed under: uncultured bacterium
Lineage: Bacteria
Description: partial 16S ribosomal RNA
Rfam family: Bacterial small subunit ribosomal RNA
Source: RNAcentral